RNAcentral lists this transfer RNA (70 nucleotides) under Betasyrphus serarius. Its description in RNAcentral is "tRNA-Cys". The record is from RNAcentral. Lineage: Eukaryota; Metazoa; Arthropoda; Insecta; Diptera; Syrphidae.
AACUUUAUAUUCAAUAUAAAUGAUAUUAGAUUGCAAUUCUAAAGGAAUAACAAUUAAGUUAUUAAAGUUU